Molecule: ribosomal RNA, 254 nt
Filed under: uncultured bacterium
Lineage: Bacteria
Description: partial 16S ribosomal RNA
Rfam family: Bacterial small subunit ribosomal RNA
Source: RNAcentral
UACGUAGGGUGCGAGCGUUGUCCGGAAUUAUUGGGCGUAAAGGGCUCGUAGGCGGUUUGUCGCGUCGGGAGUGAAAUCCACUGGCUUAACUGGUGGCUUGCUUUCGAUACGGGCAGACUGGAGGUAUGCAGGGGAGAACGGAAUUCCUGGUGUAGCGGUGAAAAUGCGUAGAUAUCAGGAGGAACACCGGCGGUGUAGACGGCUUUCUGGACCGUAGCUGACGCUGAGACACGAAAGCGUGGGUAGCAAACAGG